AAGGCCUCAUAGUAAGCAAAAUGGUGAUACACCAGAACGUCAGGUCGAGGUGUAGCUCACGAGGUGGGAAGAAAUGGGCUACAUUUUCUAUGUUAGAAUAAUACGAAUAAUACUAUGAAAUAAGUAGUUGAAGGUGGAUUUAGUAGUAAAAAACAAACAGAGAGUCUUUUUGAAUUAGGCUCUGAGAUGCGUACACACCGCCCGUCACUCUCCCUAAUUUAAACAGUAUCAAAUGUAAAU
Molecule: ribosomal RNA, 240 nt
Filed under: Roeboides dayi
Lineage: Eukaryota; Metazoa; Chordata; Actinopteri; Characiformes; Characidae
Description: partial small subunit ribosomal RNA
Source: RNAcentral